AUUGAACGCUGGCGGCAGGCCUAACACAUGCAAGUCGAGUGCGAAAGUUCUUCGGAAUGAGUAAAGCGGCGGACGGGUGAGUAAUACAUGGGAAUCUGCCUGGUAGCGGGGGACAACGUUUCGAAAGGAACGCUAAUACCGCAUACGCCCUACGGGGAAAGGGGGGAUCUUCGGACCUCUCGCUAUCAGAUGAGCCCAUG
This 200-nucleotide ribosomal RNA is filed under the name uncultured bacterium. RNAcentral describes it as "partial 16S ribosomal RNA". It matches the Rfam family "Bacterial small subunit ribosomal RNA", at positions 30 to 235 of the family's 1533-position model. The record is from RNAcentral.